UACGUAGGGGGCGAGCGUUAUCCGGAUUUAUUGGGCGUAAAGCGUGCGUAGGCGGUUUAUUAAGUCCAGAAUUAAAGCCCGAGGCUUAACCUCGGUUCGUUCUGGAUACUGGUAGACUAGAGUAUGGUAGAGGCAAACGGAAUUCCUAGUGUAGCGGUGAAAUGCGUAGAUAUUAGGAGGAACACCAGUGGCGAAGGCGGUUUGCUGGGCCAUCACUGACGCUGAGGUACGAAAGCGUGGGUAGCAAAUAGG
Molecule: ribosomal RNA, 252 nt
Filed under: uncultured organism
Description: partial 16S ribosomal RNA
Rfam family: Bacterial small subunit ribosomal RNA
Source: RNAcentral